RNAcentral lists this ribosomal RNA (496 nucleotides) under uncultured bacterium. Its description in RNAcentral is "partial 16S ribosomal RNA". It matches the Rfam family "Bacterial small subunit ribosomal RNA", at positions 28 to 506 of the family's 1533-position model. The record is from RNAcentral.
GAUGAACGCUGGCGGCGUGCCUAAUACAUGCCAGUCGAGCGAACGGACGAGAAGCUUGCUUCUCUGAUGUUAGCGGCGGACGGGUGAGUAACACGUGGAUAACCUACCUAUAAGACUGGGAUAACUUCGGGAAACCGGAGCUAAUACCGGAUAAUAUUUUGAACCGCAUGGUUCAAAAGUGAAAGGCGGUCUUGCUGUCACUUAUAGAUGGAUCCGCGCUGCAUUAGCUAGUUGGUAAGGUAACGGCUUACCAAGGCAACGAUGCAUAGCCGACCUGAGAGGGUGAUCGGCCACACUGGAACUGAGACACGGUCCAGACUCCUACGGGAGGCAGCAGUAGGGAAUCUUCCGCAAUGGGCGAAAGCCUGACGGAGCAACGCCGCGUGAGUGAUGAAGGUCUUCGGAUCGUAAAACGCUGUUAUUAGGGAAGAACAUAUGUGUAAGUAACUGUGCACAUCUUGACGGUACCUAAGCAGAAAGCCACGGCUAACUACGU